AAAUUUCCCUCUAUUAUGCAAUUAGCGCCUCUUGUACGCUGCCAAUUAGCGCCUCAUGUAGUUUCUCCUUCGCACAGUUCCAGAUUUCACGUAGUUUCUAGCUUUAUUCUCUGUUUCUUGGAUCUCAAACAUUUUUCUUGAUUCAUCUACCUUGGCGACCGAAUGUCGAUGCCUUUCUUGGAUCUCCUUAAUUCCGUGGAAAUUACUCAUGACCUUUAAUUUGGGUCUCCAUCAUAGGAAACCUAGGUCGCGAGUCCAUGUUUAGGCCAUCUUUAAUUUGUUCUCCCAAAUGCUUUAUUUUAUUUUUUUCUCGAUCUCAUGAAUAAGUUGUUCUGUUCGUUGUUGGAGGACUUGGUGGCCGGUGACGAGAAGUGACGGUGGAGUUGAUGACUAUAGCGCUUGCUUUCUCACCAAAUUGCAAGCAUGCUUACAGAUUUGGACUCUCAUUUAAUCAGCUUUUUGAGAAGGAGUGCUGGAAAUGGCUUCCACUUUGACGCAGAGCAGGAAACAGAGUCUGCGAUAGUUAUUAAUGGGUAGCAUUUGCAUUAUUUUAAUUCAAACCUUUGUAUACGUUCUGAGCUUCCCUGCAACAGUACAAACAUCCCUUUUUGUUCUUUUUCUACUCCAUCAAACUUGUAGUGUUUAGUAUAUUAAUGGCUGUAUCCAAAACAUAGGCUAUCCAUUUCGAUUAAUGGAGGAUCCACCAAACUGCGACGACCCAUCAUGUAAUAUUGUUAUUCAUGUCAUACUUCGAAUAAAAGAAAUUACAACUUGAUAUUGUUAUUCUGACUGAAAAUAUUAUGGGGAAAAUAAUGUUUCUUUUACGUUGGUUGUAAAACUGAAAAUGAUAAGAACUAAGCUACUUAACUAGACGUUGUUGUAUUUUGAUGCUGAGGAGCUAAUGUUAAUUCCUUUAAUUUGCAGCAAAAUCGUAGCUCUUGGCUUUGAUGAAAAAUUUAUAAGGACAAGGAAAUAUUACUUUGAAUAUUGUCCAGCUGGUUUUAAGUCUUGUACACUCGGAGUCUAUCAGGUAAUGAUUAAUGUUAUGUUUCAUGUAAAAUAAAUGUGUCAGGGGCCCGAAAUGAGGAUGCUUGCUUCUAAAAAUAUUACUUGUCAUUUCUCAGGCUUCUAUCCCUGGUAAUUUAAGCUGGUUGCAUCCAUUUUUUCACUCACCAUAUUUCCCAUUACUAAUUACUAUGGUUUUCUUGAGCUGUGAAAAGCAAGUGAAUACAUCCUUUUAUUGGAACGAUUCAACUUAUUGCUUUAAGACCAAAGUAUAUUCUUCCAACUCUUCAUCGUCUUCCCAUGAUAUGCAUAGAUAUGUUAAAUAUCUAGAUAGACCUCCAUAUCCAGGGCAGGUGGAGGAAUCUUGUCGAAUAGAGCAAAUAUCCCUAAUAUCGAGGGAAGGCCGUCAAUAUAUCCAAAAACUGCUUCCUGCGAAGAGAUUCGCAACGAAUUGUUAUGCGGUUUUAAGUUUAAUUGGCUACAUGUUUCUUGUCAAUGCGAGGGACCCAACAAUUGCUACCUCGAUGACGUGAAUAAAAUUUAAUGUGAUAAUGGAUUUUUCAAAGGACUGGCGGACGUAUACAAAGGAUUGGUGGACGUAUACAAUGCAUUCAAAAUUCCAAAUCUAUGAUGGGCGCACUUUGAGAAAUUCUUAUGUCAUGCCUUCUCACCUUCCAGCUGGUGGAGUUAUUGGAUCAAUCUUAGUGGUCGUUUGCUUGUUUUGGGUUGGUCUGGUAGAAGAACUACCCAUGAAAGAAAUGUUCGGAAAGCUAACGACAAACACAAUGUAAAGUAAAAUAAUUAUCCAUGAAGAAGAGCUUUCAUGUAAUGUGAUUUGUGUUACAUUAUUAUUAUUAUUAUAUGAAUAAUGAUCCAUUAUAUCA
Molecule: RNA transcript, 1889 nt
Organism: Carya illinoinensis
Lineage: Eukaryota; Viridiplantae; Streptophyta; Magnoliopsida; Fagales; Juglandaceae
Exons: 4
Source: RefSeq, a predicted model, not a curated record